CUUUGUGAAGCCAACUAAAAGGUACUUUGACAUAUGAGAAGUGGCCACAAUCCUUCUCACGGAAAUUACCUGGGGCUCCUGGUUCUUUAGGGGAUAUGAUUAUCAAAACAGAAAUUAACAAACAACAAUAAAAACAGUCUUACGUGAACCACUAUCCAAUGCCUUCAGCCAUUAGUGGUACCCAGAAUUAAAGAAGAAGCCUUCAUCCCACCACCUUCCGUUUUCCAACGGUGCUUCCUGUCUGUCCUCAGGCUCUGUGGGGGAAAGAGUCUUUCUAGAAGCACAAUGCACAGGGGAAUACCAAAGACUUUGACGAGAAGGCUCAGUUAAAAGCUUCUCUGAGCCCUUUGUCGGUCCUGCAUAGGGUAAGGGAUUCUAGAAAAGAAAGAAGAAAAGUGGGCUGAGAGACAAGCUGGUGUCACUCUCUCUUCUAGGAACCAGGGAGACAGCCGGCAGGAGUGCCCCGUGUGGCAGAGGAGAGGGCUCAUGGAAAGGUCCAAACGUCUCCAGUUUGAGAUCUCAGCAUCUCCAGCAUUGAGAGCGAUCUCUGGGAGGCAGAAGAUGACUAAGAGGAGCCCGAAGGUACCCAGAGUUCUCCCUCAACUCCAAGAGGUCCAGAGGCGCCAGAUCACCGGGGCCCAAAACCUCCACCUGCUCCUCUGAUGCUGGUCCUGACAGAGACCCAGCUUUGCCAGAGAGGAGUCUCGGCCGCUUGUUUCCGGGAAGGACCGAGCCCAAGAGGCUGUCUGCUUCCCCAGACGGACGCCGCGCCAGCAAGGCGGCUCCCGGGCCCAGGAAGCUGAGGGCUAAUGUUGUCUUCGAACAGAAUUGUAAAGAAAAAGACACGUUCCCUGGCCUUGGUCCUACCGAGGUCAACGUGUCAACGUGUCAGUAAACCGGUCCCAGGGAACGAGUCGACGACGACGACGACGACGACGACGGGCCUCCCGGCUUUCGUGUAGCUCCUCCAUCAGGGCCUGGGGUCCCCUCUGCUCUCCAGAUAACGACCCCCAGCCGACGAUGCCCGCCCCGAGGCUGAUCGAGGGACCCCAAGACAACCCUCUGCUGGGGCCAAAGUGCCCGCAGGAGGUGACUCGUUUGGGACCUGCGAGGGGAGGCGAGGCGCGCGCACUGUGCUGCCAGUCCCCCCAGCCCUGCCCGGGGCAGACAGCCUUCCCGGAGCAGCACCAGGACAGCAAAGCCCUGUUUGGGAGCUUAUUGAGGCCGCGGAUUCCGCUACGGAACUGCCGCGCCAGGCGGGAGUCAGAGAAUGAUGACAAGCAGAUACUGGAACCUCAGAUUCCGGUGUGAAAAGGCGACACGUGACUUAAUGACUCCAGGCCUUAGGAGCCAAGAACGGUGCUAAGGAAGUGGCUGCCCAGGCCAACUAGGAUGAAAAGGAGGGAUGGGGGCUGGGUACAGAGCAACUAGAAACUGACAGAAGGGGGUGGGGGCCGCCAGGCUGGAAACUGAGUGCGGGUGCGUUUUAGCCAGUUUCUGACAACGUGGCGGAGGAGUCCUGGCAGCGGGCGCGGGACCUGGGCGCCCGGGUGGGACCCGCCACGUUUGGGCUCCGGAAGUGAGUCGCAGGCCAGGCCCAGCGCUCGCAAGUCGCCGGCCCCCUCCCCGCCGGGUUCGUCUUUUCCCCUCUUUCUUCCAAUUCUGCCCACUUUUCCUCCCUCUCUUGCCACUCGGGCUGCAACCCCGACUCAACCGUCCUUCCUCUCCGGCAAUUGGGGUAGAGAUGGCAAUGAGGGCGGCAAUGAGGGCGGCGUCAGCCGUUCCAACUGGGGUUUAUGGAGACAUCCCCGGUGGUGCCACCAGGGCCUUAACGUUUGCGUCGCGCUCUCUGGUUACAGAGCACGUUCCCCCACAGCUUUCCUCGCCGCAGCUGCACGGAGGGUCUGAUCAUCCGGGCCCUAGAAGGAAAGUGAGGCCCGACCUAGGAGGCCGGCCCCAGGACACCCAAUCCUCCCGCUGCACUAGAAUCCAGGCUUCUCAGGGAUGGAGCUGGUCUUCCCAGGGCUGGAAGAGUCAGAGGAGGUCCCAGCCCAGGACCUUAUAUUUCUCGGCCUGCUUCCGAGAAAUGAGGACAGGAAUGGCGCUAACUCUCCCCUGCGCUGGCUCAGGGUGGGGUCUCCUGGGCCUGGCAGCCUGCUCCAAAGAUUCGGCUUUCCCGGCCAGAGGCGAGCUCAAGUCCAAAAUCUAUCCCCGAAGAAGAGGAAGAAAAGCAGAUAUGCAUGACUCAAAAGUUUACCAGCGCAAACCACAGACCCGACAAAGGACGGGUAUCUUGACCACCUAAAGAAAACUACCAUCCAUCAAUUUUAAAAAAUCAAACUAUGCUGUAGGAAACUGGACAAAGACAUCAACAGAAAUUGCAUUAAAGGGGAUAUGUGGGUGGCAAAUAAAGACAGGAAAAGAUGUUCAACAUCACUGGCCAUUAGGGAGAUGCAAAUUAAAACCAAAAUCAGAAUGGAUAAAAUAAGAAGCAGCAAUAACAGCAAACACUGGAUUCAUUCAUUGCUGGAGGGAAUGUAGACUGGUGCGCCACUCUCCACAGUGUAUGGUCGUUGUUUCUUUUUUUUUUUUUUUAACAAAACUAAACAUGCAAUUCUAUGCCCAGAAAAGCCUGGGGCUGAGGAUGCCUUUGGAAAGAAUUAUACAAUGACAAAGUCAAGGUGGAUUUUUUUCUCUUUUUUUCUUACCAUCUCCUAAUGAGACCAGCUUGUCAAUUAGCUGGUCCCAGGGAGGAUGGUGCCUGAACUGAAAAUAGCCUCCUGGGUUCUUACCCACCUGCUCUCCUUUAAAACGGGGUCUCUCCUCCUCUUGAAGAAUAGAGAACCUCCAGUAGAGGAUUCUAGCUCCCUCACCUUGAAUUCAGCCACCCACGCCCUGCCACUCUGCUUGCUCAAAUGCUGCCCAAGAACUGAUAACAUGUGGAACAGAUUGUAGCAGCUGGAACCCAGGAAGAGCUUUGUGGGCAGAGCCAGAGAGAGACGGUAGAAGGCGAGCUCACCCAGCACAGCCAGAAGGAGGCAGCUCCGAGGACACCCGCAGUGACCAGAGCCCACCCCAACCCAGGGCUGGAGGUGCUCAGUGAGAUUCUCAGCUGCGAGGGAGAUAUCUCCUGUGGGUCGAAAGAAAAAAUUAGAAUUGAGAAGCUAUUCCUUAUUUGACAGAGAGUGCCAACACAAUGGGAAAGCAUAGAUAAAAGCCAGAGAUUCUUACCACAGAAGAUGGAAGCAUGCGGGGCAGGGGAGGACAAGGAAGAAGGUUGUGAUCAGGGAGGGGCACUCAGGACUCCUGGGCACUGGCCAGGCUUAUAACUCUUGACUAAGAGAAGGAUACUUUGGGUUUCAGUAUAAUUACUAAACGAGGGUCACAUAUAUGUUCUAAGGACCUUGAUGCAUGUAGAUCAUAUUUUACAAUUGAAAAUAAUGAAAUAAGAAAGGAAACUUCAAAAAUAACAAGCCGGGGUGUCGUAGAAUCACCAGUCAGCCCCGAGUCGUGCAUUUUCAACCCUACUCAGGUACUGGCCCUGUGACCCCAUCCAUGCCUGACCCUCCCACCCUGCAGUUUCCUCUCCUGUAAGGAGAUGCUGAGGUUGUCAGGACAAGUGGUGAAGGACAGAAG
RNAcentral lists this long non-coding RNA (3636 nucleotides) under Equus caballus (horse). Its description in RNAcentral is "lncRNA (ENSECAG00000057114.1)". The record is from RNAcentral. Lineage: Eukaryota; Metazoa; Chordata; Mammalia; Perissodactyla; Equidae.